CCGCCCCCGAGUCCCGCGAUCCUGGCGGGACUCGCUGGUUCGCGCCGGGGUAGUUGUAGAGCCGUGGAGGCGGGGAGGCGGGCGGCCUCUUUCCCCGUGUCCUCAUCGUCCUGCAGAAGCCUCAGAAUUUACCUGAUUAUUUGGCUCAAAUUUAUCAAAAUUGGGAGGCUGCGCUUUCUGGGGGGCUGGGGAAGAGCGGAGUUUGGGAGGCCUGGGGGGCGCGUUCUGGCUCCGCCCCUCCGCGCUCCGGACCCUGGCGGGCUUUUUCUUUUUUUUUAAUCUUUUAAAAAUCUUAAAAUCUUUUUAAAAUUUCAUUUAUUUAUUCAUGAGAGACACAGAGAGAGAGAGAGAGGCAGAGACACAGGCAGAGGGAGAAGCAGGCGCCACGCAGGGAGCCCGAUGCGGGAUUCGAUCCCGAGACCCCAGGGUCACGCCCUGGGCCGCAGGUGGCGCCAAACCGCUGAGCCCCCCGGGCAUCCCCAGCCUGGCGGGCUUUUUCAUCUCCAAUUUCGCGUCGGGGAGGGAGGUGAGCGGAGAGGCUGGGCGUCCAGCCCCGCAGCGCGUCCUCGUGAUGGUGACCUACCGGUCCUCUUCGUGAUCAGAAUCCAGUACCGCUCGUACCCGGGGUCUGUGUUUAUUAGCGUGUCCUGUUCUUAACCAAACUGGCCACUUCAGCCGGAGUUUUAGGGCAGCUAGGAAUGCCUGAGGAAUAUCACAUAUAUCCCACCUAGGAGUGGCGGUGGGGGUUUGUGGGGUGUCAGCUUGUGCUUUGUCCUCAGCUUGCCUUCCACUCCCUCAUCAUUCUCAUUUACUUUUCAUGAAGAACAUCAGUGAUCUCUGUUUUGCACCGGCAAGCAUUGCUUUCAGAUUCUUAUAUUCCAUAUAAAGUAGCUUUUCCUAAAAAACAGAAGUCCAGCACCAACUAGCUUUUAAGAAAAUAUUUUCACAUAAUACUCAUAAAAUCCAAGGUCUUAUUUCCUAUUUGUAAUUGCAGGUUUUCAGCUAUCCUUGACUUUUAUCACUUCCAUAUUGGUUUAUAGUUAAAACUACUCCUUCUCUUUUGCCACACCCCUUCCUUCAUGGAGAUGAUUACUGGAUCCCCUUUCUCCAAUGUGAUUCUCAUUUCAUUGUUCUCUUUGUCAUGAUGGUAUCUUCUUUUUUAUUUCAAAUCCAUGCACAUCUGCUUGAUCUUUUUCCAGUGGGUUCCCUUUUAUUACUGUUAGUUCUUACUAGAUUCAAACAGACUUUUCACUCUUAGAUUUUUAGUUCACAAACUCUGUCCCUUCUGUAAUUAACAUUUUCUGUAGUCUUCGACAUCCUUCUUCAGUCCUCUAGUCACAAGUAUUUCUUAUUCUUUGAAUUCUGACUUAAAUUCCUAAUUCAGCAAAUACUUAUUAGUACCAGUCUCUACCCUCUCUAAAGUUCUACAAAAUACUUAUGCUUCUAUAUCAAAAAUAUGAUAUCUCUACACUCUGUAUAAAUACUUGGUGGAAACUGCCUACAGAAUUAAUUCUAGUCUCUUUAAGGUGACAUGCCUGGCCUUUCAUAAUUCAUUCUCAGCCUUCUUUCCCAGACUCAUCUCCUGUUUCUUCUUUAGAUUGCCUUGUCUUUUUUUUUGUUGUUGUUCACUACUGUGAACCACCCAACCAACCAACCAAUGACAAAAGAUAGCAUGCCAACUUUGUUAAUGGAUAGAUGAAUGAAUGAAUUCAGAAGGCAUUUAUAGAAUGCCUACCUUAUGCCAAGAAGUGUGUAAGGUGUUGGGAUAUAAAGAUGAAUAAGAUGUGGACCUGUCCCAAGGAGUCCAUAGUUGAGUGGAGAUGAUUUGUAUAAAGACAUAACCAGAGAAAGAGUAAAAGGCAUUAUAAAUAGAGUAGAUGGCACAAGGCAUAGAACAUAAACAUAAUGCUUGAUGUAAAAAUUAUCAAGAUUUAGAACAGGAGAUCACAGAAGCCUCAGAUAAUAUAGUAUUUUGUAUGCCAUUUUAAAGAACUUUGUGUCAUUCUUGAAAUGUUGAUGUUCUUCAUCUCUGUGUCUUUGCACGUGCUAAACUUGAAAUGCCCAUCCUCUCCAUAUCUCUCCGCAUGUGUAUUUCUAUUUCUAUGUCUAUUUCAAAACCCAGAUCUAAUCCAUUUCUGGAAACAUUGCUCCUAUUCUCUUCUUUAUCUCUUAAUCCUUUCAUCAGAUUUUUCUUCUGAGCUUUAUUCAUAUAGUGGCAUAUCUUUGUGACAUACCUCAGGGCUUAGCACACAGUGGACAAUAAAUACUGGUUGAAUAUGAGUAAGUUUAGGGAGUUCAUUUCCUACUUUCUGAUUAAGGUAAAGGAAAAGAAUAGGUUAGAAAGAAAAAUGCAGAAACAUUGAAAAAUGCAGAUUAUUGAAAUACAUAAUAUAUUCCUCAAAUUAUUCAAUAUUUUAAGGCUCAGCAAAUUAAUGGUAGUGAUUAUUUCCCAUUGAUAUAACAUUGAAACAUUUUUUUUAUGCCAGCUAGCCAUAUUCUCUUUGUGUAAUACCAUCAGUGACCAAGUGAUCAUCAUAAAGCUGAGUAACCUACCAUAGAAUAUCCAUCCUAGCUUUUUUGCUUCAGAGGCUGUCAGCCCCAUAUACUUUCCCCAUCCUACUUUUUAACCUGUAAAGUAAAAACAAGCUUCUAUUAUGCCAUGGAACAGCUGCAGUUUCAGGUUCAAAGAGUACAAUUCAAGUAUCACCAGCUCCCAGUUGCUGCCCAAUAUAAUUACUACCCCUCCUUUGUGCUCCUUUAUUACAUACACAGACUCCUGUUACAUGUUAUUAUAUUUAUAUACAUUAUAAAUUAUAUACAUUAUAUACAUUUAUAUUCUUGUUUCUCCUCACUGUGAGCACUUUCAUAGCAGUGGUCUUGUCUUAUUAGUGUCUGUAUACUUAGCAUCCAUCCCAGUUCUUUGACAGAGUUGUGCUCCAUAAAUGUUUACUGAACUGAGGAACAACCAGAAGAACAUAUAGAACAUAGUAUAAAGAUGGGCAUUCUUUUGAAACUAGAGAACACGCAUUCUGUUUUUUAGAUUUUUCAAAUGAACAUUGGUUGUUGUUUUGUUACUUUUAUGCUUCUUAAAAUUCCUAAGUAAUUACCUGCAUACUCCAUCAAACAUUAACAUGCACAGAAACUCAGGUAUACCUUGAUCACUCUCUCUCCUCCCUUUCCAACUCUGACCUUAUCUUCCAAACACUAACUUCUGCUCCACUUAUACCCCACUCCGGUUGGGUGGCAGAUAGGGAAUAUCCAGCCCUCUGGCUAUUCUUCAGUCUUCACUCUUCCUAUACUCUAUUUUCCCCAAAUCCCACUCCUACCCAAAAUGGUGGGAUCCUGACCUUUAUUUCCCAAGGGACUUCAGACCAGGAUAAUGUAACAUCAAUACAUUUUUAAGAGUUUGAGGGGUUUUUUUUUCCCCUUCAAAAUACAGCAUUUGUGGGACAUUCAUGGCAUAGCUUAUUGCAGCUUCAGCAAUCCAGAUCUAAUUCUCUUUAUAUCUUUUGUCAGUGGGCAUUGAAAAUCAUGUCUGCCAGUCUUUUUUGCCAUUUCUAGUUCUCCUCUCCCAAUCUUUAUGGGUCACUACUUGGAAAAAAGAAAAUGCUUAUUGACUUCUAUAAGGACAAGCAAUAAUGUACAGGCAUAGACUACUCUAGAUCCAUACACAGUAAAGAAACAUGUUUUUGAGAGAAACAGAUUUUGCCUACGUUAAUAUAAAUAUGUUACUAUAUUAAGGAAAGCUCUUUAUUUUCUUGGUGCUAUAUAUCUAAAAUCUAGCAGAGAACCAUUGCUCAAUGUUUGUAUAAACUUGAGUAUCCAGAUGAUUCUCCAAAAACAAAGGCUUUUUAUGCCUAAAAAUUUAAUCCUUCACAUUUUAGGGGAAAAAAACAGGGUUUGCAACUUUCAAACAGUUUUGCCCAUCAUUGCUGUUCAAUGAUUUAAAAUAAUCUCAUUUAAAAAACACCUCAUUUAUGACUUAGCUUGUCAUCUUAUUACUUUUACUGCUUAAAAUAUUGAUGUAUACUAGUGCCAAGUUCCAAACGCUUUUCCUAAGUUACUUUAUGUAACUCAAUAAUUAUUUAUUUUUAUUUUGUUUUUUAAAGUAGGCUCCAUUCCCAGCUUGGAGUCCAACACCAGGCUUGAACUCACAACCCUGAGAUCAAGACCUGAGCUGAGAUCAAGAGUCAGAUGCUUAACCUACUGAACCAAUUAUCUCCAUUUUACAGAUGAAGAAGCAGGAUCACAGAACUAGACUUUGAUCACAGAGAAAAGCCAGGACUAAAGUCCAUCCAUUUAUUCAACAAAUGCUUGGGUGCUUACAAUGUCAGUGAAGAGUACAACAAUUUCUGCCUCACGGAGCUUAUACUACAGUGGAUAUCAGUUCUUAUUUUAUUGAUUACAAAGCAUAACUUCUUGCAGUAAUCUUAUAGUGCCCUAGAAAUAACUAGCAGUCUUAAUGCCUCUGGUAACUUUCUUUUCCAUGUUACUACUGAAGCCCUCAAGUCAUUGAAACCCCAGCUGACCUAUUUCACCAGAUGCUGGACAUUCUCAGUCAAGUUUGGAUUUAUAGUGGGUACCCAGGUUUAGGUCACAAACGUAAAAUCUUAACAACUUCUUUGUGUUCAGGGAAGUGAAGAAGAAGUAGUAUCUCACUAAGAAUAAAUGACAGGAUAAAAGGUAGAUUUGUAAAAAGCAGCUUGGAUGUAGCAUAGGUCAAAGUGCUGAGCAGGGACAACAGGAGGAAAUGUUCCUCACAGUUCCAGUCAGUGGCAUCUUUUUAUACAAAGCAAUAUUGCCAGCAUUCUACUUAGAGUAUUUGCAGUAAUAUUUAUUUUGAAUAUUUUUUAUUAAUUAAUGGGAUCUAGGAGUAUCUGGUGAGAAUUUCUCUACAAAUGGCCAUUGGAUUAGUCUUAUUCAUGAAACUCAUAAAUCCAUGAAAUUCAACAUUUUAUGUCUAGGAAAAAUAAAACUGGGGUCAUGCUGUUUAAGAGGGUAAGGGAAUUUAACGGAAUGCUGGGGUAUUUAUGGCAGAUUUAUGACAAAAAUCUAACUGGAAGCUUAAUUGUGAUUUAAAUUACAGGUCAAGCUGUGCAAUGUGUUUUCUUUUUAGGGGGAAAUCUUUGGGGAGGUAGAGUGUACUUGUUUAAAGAAACAGCAAAUGAGAAAAGAUUGCAUUUUCUGUUUCUCUUUUAAAAUUUCAAGCUGCAGGGCAGCUGGGUGGCUCAGUCAGUUGGGUCUCUGCCUUUUGCUCAGGUCAUGAUCCCAGGG
Molecule: long non-coding RNA, 5274 nt
Organism: Canis lupus familiaris (dog)
Lineage: Eukaryota; Metazoa; Chordata; Mammalia; Carnivora; Canidae
Exons: 3
Source: RefSeq, a predicted model, not a curated record